Molecule: ribosomal RNA, 730 nt
Filed under: uncultured bacterium
Lineage: Bacteria
Description: bacterial SSU rRNA
Rfam family: Bacterial small subunit ribosomal RNA
Source: RNAcentral
AACAGGAUUAGAUACCCUGGCAGUCCACGCCGUAAACGAUGUCGACUUGGAGGUUGUGCCCUUGAGGCGUGGCUUCCGGAGCUAACGCGUUAAGUCGACCGCCUGGGGAGUACGGCCGCAAGGUUAAAACUCAAAUGAAUUGACGGGGGCCCGCACAAGCGGUGGAGCAUGUGGUUUAAUUCGAUGCAACGCGAAGAACCUUACCUACUCUUGACAUCCAGAGAACUUAGCAGAGAUGCUUUGGUGCCUUCGGGAACUCUGAGACAGGUGCUGCAUGGCUGUCGUCAGCUCGUGUUGUGAAAUGUUGGGUUAAGUCCCGCAACGAGCGCAACCCUUAUCCUUUGUUGCCAGCGGUUAGGCCGGGAACUCAAAGGAGACUGCCAGUGAUAAACUGGAGGAAGGUGGGGAUGACGUCAAGUCAUCAUGGCCCUUACGAGUAGGGCUACACACGUGCUACAAUGGCGCAUACAAAGAGAAGCGACCUCGCGAGAGCAAGCGGACCUCAUAAAGUGCGUCGUAGUCCGGAUUGGAGUCUGCAACUCGACUCCAUGAAGUCGGAAUCGCUAGUAAUCGUGGAUCAGAAUGCCACGGUGAAUACGUUCCCGGGCCUUGUACACACCGCCCGUCACACCAUGGGAGUGGGUUGCAAAAGAAGUAGGUAGCUUAACCUUCGGGAGGGCGCUUACCACUUUGUGAUUCAUGACUGGGGUGAAGUCGUAACAAGGUAACC